GGAAUUUUCGGCAAUGGGGGAAACCCUGACCGAGCAACGCCGCGUGAGUGAAGAGGGCCUUCGGGUUGUAAAGCUCUGUUGUAAGGGAAGAAGAUAUCAUAGAGGGAAUGCUAUGAUUGUGACGGUACCUUACCAGAAAGCCACGGCUAACUACGUGCCAGCAGCCGCGGUAAUACGUAGGUGGCGAGCGUUAUCCGGAAUUAUUGGGCGUAAAGGGUGGUAGGCGGCACAUUAAGUCUAAGGUUAAAGUUCGAGGCUCAACUUCGGAUUGCCUUAGAAACUGGUGAGCUAGAGUGCAGGAGAGGGCAAUGGAAUUCCAUGUGUAGCGGUAAAAUGCGUAGAUAUAUGGAGGAACACCAGUGGCGAAGGCGGUUGCCUGGCCUGUAACUGACGCUGAGGCACGAAAGCGUGGGGAGCAAAUAGGAUUAGAUACCCUAGUAGUCCACGCUGUAAACGAUGAUUACUAAGUGUUGGAGAAAUUCAGUGCUGCAGUUAACGCAAUAAGUAAU
RNAcentral lists this ribosomal RNA (509 nucleotides) under uncultured Erysipelotrichaceae bacterium. Its description in RNAcentral is "bacterial SSU rRNA". It matches the Rfam family "Bacterial small subunit ribosomal RNA", at positions 358 to 868 of the family's 1533-position model. The record is from RNAcentral. Lineage: Bacteria; Bacillati; Bacillota; Erysipelotrichia; Erysipelotrichales; Erysipelotrichaceae.